Molecule: ribosomal RNA, 449 nt
Filed under: uncultured bacterium
Lineage: Bacteria
Description: partial 16S ribosomal RNA
Rfam family: Bacterial small subunit ribosomal RNA
Source: RNAcentral
AGCGAACGCUGGCGGCAGGCCUAACACAUGCAAGUCGAACGGAUCCUUCGGGAUUAGUGGCGGACGGGUGAGUAACACGUGGGAACGUGCCCUUUGGUUCGGAACAACUCAGGGAAACUUGAGCUAAUACCGGAUGUGCCCUUCGGGGGAAAGAUUUAUCGCCAUUGGAGCGGCCUGCGUCUGAUUAGCUAGUUGGUGAGGUAAAGGCUCGCCAAGGCGACGAUCAGUAGCUGGUCUGAGAGGAUGAUCAGCCACAUUGGGACUGAGACACGGCCCAAACUCCUACGGGAGGCAGCAGUGGGGAAUCUUGCGCAAUGGGCGAAAGCCUGACGCAGCCAUGCCGCGUGAAUGAUGAAGGUCUUAGGAUCGUAAAAUUCUUUCACCGGGGACGAUAAUGACGGUACCCGGAGAAGAAGCCCCGGCUAACUUCGUGCCAGCCGCCGCAGUAA